AUUGAACGCUAGCGGGGUGCUUUACACAUGCAAGUCGAACGGCAGCGCGGACUUCGGUCUGGCGGCGAGUGGCGAACGGGUGAGUAAUGUAUCGGAACGUGCCCAGUAGCGGGGGAUAACUACGCGAAAGCGUAGCUAAUACCGCAUACGCCCUACGGGGGAAAGGGGGGGAUCGCAAGACCUCUCACUAUUGGAGCGGCCGAUAUCGGAUUAGCUAGUUGGUGAGGUAAAGGCUCACCAAGGCGACGAUCCGUAGCUGGUUUGAGAGGACGACCAGCCACACUGGGACUGAGACACGGCCCAGACUCCUACGGGAGUCAGCAGUGGGGAAUUUUGGACAAUGGGGGCAACCCUGAUCCAGCCAUCCCGCGUGUGCGAUGAAGGCCUUCGGGUUGUAAAGCACUUUUGGCAGGGAAGAAAAGUUUCGGGCUAAUACCCUGGAGCGAUGACGGUACCUGCAGAAUAAGCACCGGCUAACUACGUGCCAGCCGCCGCGGUAA
RNAcentral lists this ribosomal RNA (500 nucleotides) under uncultured bacterium. RNAcentral's name for it is "partial 16S ribosomal RNA". It matches the Rfam family "Bacterial small subunit ribosomal RNA", at positions 30 to 523 of the family's 1533-position model. The record is from RNAcentral.